Long non-coding RNA from Gasterosteus aculeatus aculeatus (three-spined stickleback), 397 nucleotides. The record is from Ensembl. Lineage: Eukaryota; Metazoa; Chordata; Actinopteri; Perciformes; Gasterosteidae.
GUGCACUGCAUAGCAUUUUUUUUGUGGAGGGGGGGGGGUUGCGACAAAGGCUAAUGAUCACAUGAACAUACAUGGACUACGGGGAAGCUGGACGAGAGGAAUGAGUUGUUGACAGAAUCAUACGUGGCACCAAUUACCCCGGUCUGGGCCCGUCAGCUGGAGGAGAGCAGAGCCGGAGGAAGUCAAAAGGACGGCUGAGCGUCUCCUCUGUGGGGUCGGAGGCUGAUGCGCUGACGGGGACACACAUCUCUGAUCCGGAGAGUCACUGUGUGUGUGUGUGUGUGUGUGUGUCGCUGACAUUAAGCCGAUACGGAGGUCGACGUUACCACGUUAGCAUUGCCAUUUUUAGCUUUUAGCGUUGCCAUUCACAUAUACCUGUAACAUGUCAGACCGAACC